This 497-nucleotide ribosomal RNA is filed under the name uncultured bacterium. Its description in RNAcentral is "partial 16S ribosomal RNA". It matches the Rfam family "Bacterial small subunit ribosomal RNA", at positions 28 to 507 of the family's 1533-position model. The record is from RNAcentral.
GAUGAACGCUGGCGGCGUGCCUAAUACAUGCAAGUCGAGCGAACGGACGAGAAGCUUGCUUCUCUGAUGUUAGCGGCGGACGGGUGAGUAACACGUGGAUAACCUACCUAUAAGACUGGGAUAACUUCGGGAAACCGGAGCUAAUACCGGAUAAUAUUUUGAACCGCAUGGUUCAAAAGUGAAAGACGGUCUUGCUGUCACUUAUAGAUGGAUCCGCGCUGCAUUAGCUAGUUGGUAAGGUAACGGCAUACCAAGGCAACGAUGCAUAGCCGACCUGAGAGGGGGAUAGGCCACAUUGGAACUGAGACACGGACAAGACUCCUAAGGGAGGCAGCAGAAGGGAAUCUUCCGCAAUGGGCGAAAGCCUGACAGAGCAACGCCGCGUGAGUGAUGAAGGUCUUCGGAUCGUAAAACUCUGUUAUUAGGGAAGAACAUAUGUGUAAGUAACUGUGCACAGCGUGACGGUACCUAAUCAGAAAGCCACGGCUAACUACGUG